Molecule: ribosomal RNA, 497 nt
Filed under: uncultured bacterium
Lineage: Bacteria
Description: partial 16S ribosomal RNA
Rfam family: Bacterial small subunit ribosomal RNA
Source: RNAcentral
GAUGAACGCUGGCGGCGUGCCUAAUACAUGCAAGUCGAGCGAACAGACGAGGAGCGUGCCUCUCGGACGUUAGCGGCGGACGGGAGAGUAACACGUGGAUAACCUACCUAUAAGACAGGGAUAACUUGGGGAAACCGGAGCUAAUACCGGCUAAGAUAGUGAACCGCAUGGUUCAAUAGUGAAAGACGGUGUUGCUGUCACUGAUAGAUGGAGUCGCGUCGGAUUAGCUAGGUGGUAAGGUAACGGCUCACCAAGGGAACGAUGCGGAGCAGGACCGAGAGGGCGACUCGCCCCCCCUGGACCUAGGCCCCGCCCCAGACCCCUCGGGAGGGCAGCAGUGGGAAUUCUUCAGAAAUGGGCGAAACCCUGACGAAGCAACGCCGCGUGAGUAAUGAGGGUCUUCGGUUCGAAAACUCUUUUAUUAGGAACGAACCGGUGUGUGAGAAACCCUGCACGUCUUGACGGUACCUUAUGAGAAAGCACCGGCUAACUACGUG